AUUUAAUAUACCUAACCGUACCUAUAUACAUAUAAAAAUAUUAUAAUAAUAUAUUAUUUAUGUUUGAAUUCAUUAGAACAAUGGCGUAUCAGACGUCGCUCCCAAACCGGUCGACAUCCAUCUGCAUAACUCAUUCCGCAAGAAUGAGCGGUAUAGUUUGAAAACUUACCAAAGUUAUCUGGUGGAUGUCGAUACGUUGGUGAGCAGCCGUCGCACAUAGGUCUUAUGUACCUAUGGAAAGUUAUUAUUGGAUCGGUCAUAAUAUUACGUUGAGAAGUUAUCUGUCCAUAAACUUAUUUUCAGAUUUGUAGGCCAAUUCCGUUGCCAUUUUUUAAUCAUUCUUUGUUUUUAUUAAGGUUGAGGUGUAACAGCAUUUUAGGGGCUAUUGUAAUUCCCACUUCCAGGACUUUAUCAUACAUACAGCCGACAGCCCGAUGAUCUACAUUUUUGUGUAUUCUGGUCUACCCUAUGAUGGCCGCGAAGUAACGAUCACCUCACCGUUUAUCAGAUUGCCCAGUUUGAAAGAGUCUUCAACAAUUUCAUCGGAUAGGUACGCCAUAAACCGUGGCAUAGCGCUGGGCCAGCAUCAUUUUGUCCGGAUCAAUAUCUACAAAAAUGACGUCCCAAUUAUUAGAAGCUAAUAAUAUAGUGUCUUUGUCGAACAGUCAGCUGUACGAAGUUUCCGCUGUGCCACAAAACGGGUCGACGCCGGUCGCUGAACAUGGGAAGUCCUCAAGUCCACCAAGCAUCGUAUUGAUGAAUCAACAAUACAUCUUACAUCUUACAUCUAUCAUUGCAAUCUUAUAAUUAUUCACCUGAAUGCAUGUAAUCCUGAAUGUACAGUUAAUUUAUUACUACCCAUCUACAAAGUCAACACUGUAUUAAUAAAAGUAUUUAUUGUUAAAA
Long non-coding RNA from Metopolophium dirhodum (rose-grain aphid), 906 nucleotides. RefSeq lists it as uncharacterized. The record is from RefSeq and is a predicted model, not a curated record. The transcript has 3 exons. Lineage: Eukaryota; Metazoa; Arthropoda; Insecta; Hemiptera; Aphididae.